AUUGAACGCUGGCGGCAGGCCUAACACAUGCAAGUCGAGCGGAUGAAGGGAGCUUGCUCCUGGAUUCAGCGGCGGACGGGUGAGUAAUGCCUAGGAAUCUGCCUGGUAGUGGGGGAUAACGUCCGGAAACGGGCGCUAAUACCGCAUACGUCCUGAGGGAGAAAGUGGGGGAUCUUCGGACCUCACGCUAUCAGAUGAGCCUAGGUCGGAUUAGCUAGUUGGUGGGGUAAAGGCCUACCAAGGCGACGAUCCGUAACUGGUCUGAGAGGAUGAUCAGUCAAACUGGAAAUGAGACGCGGACCAGAGUCAUAAGGGAGGCAGGAGUGGAGAAGAGUGGGCAAGGGGCGAGGGCGGGAGGCGGGAGGGGGGAGUGGGAGAGGAAGGUCGACGGUUUGGAAAGCCCGGGAGGUUGGGAGGAAGGGCAUUAUGGUUAUAACGUGCUGUUUGGGGGGGAAAAAAAGAAUUAGCACUGGCUUGUUGUGUGCCAGCAGGAGCAGAAAAAAAAGAGCAGCACACCUCUGAAC
This 524-nucleotide ribosomal RNA is filed under the name uncultured bacterium. RNAcentral's name for it is "partial 16S ribosomal RNA". The stretch from base 21 to 327 matches the Rfam family "Bacterial small subunit ribosomal RNA", at positions 48 to 357 of the family's 1533-position model. The record is from RNAcentral.